RNAcentral lists this ribosomal RNA (694 nucleotides) under uncultured beta proteobacterium. RNAcentral describes it as "bacterial SSU rRNA". It matches the Rfam family "Bacterial small subunit ribosomal RNA", at positions 74 to 757 of the family's 1533-position model. Lineage: Bacteria; Pseudomonadati; Pseudomonadota; Betaproteobacteria. The record is from RNAcentral.
AGGAGCUUGCUCCGCCCCGACGACGAGUGGCGAACGGGUGAGUAAUACAUCGGAACGUGUCCGCUCGUGGGGGACAACCAGCCGAAAGGUUGGCUAAUACCGCAUGAGUUCUACGGAAGAAAGAGGGGGACCCGCAAGGGCCUCUCGCGAGCGGAGCGGCCGAUGACUGAUUAGCCAGUUGGUGAGGUAACGGCUCACCAAAGCAACGAUCAGUAGCUGGUCUGAGAGGACGACCAGCCACACUGGGACUGAGACACGGCCCAGACUCCUACGGGAGGCAGCAGUGGGGAAUUUUGGACAAUGGGCGCAAGCCUGAUCCAGCUAUUCCGCGUGUGGGAUGAAGGCCCUCGGGUUGUAAACCACUUUUGUAGAGAACGAAAAGACACCAUCGAAUAAAUGGUGUUGCUGACGGUACUCUAAGAAUAAGCACCGGCUAACUACGUGCCAGCAGCCGCGGUAAUACGUAGGGUGCGAGCGUUAAUCGGAAUUACUGGGCGUAAAGGGUGCGCAGGCGGUUGAGUAAGACAGAUGUGAAAUCCCCGAGCUUAACUCGGGAAUGGCAUAUGUGACUGCUCGACUAGAGUGUGUCAGAGGGAGGUGGAAUUCCACGUGUAGCAGUGAAAUGCGUAGAUAUGUGGAAGAACACCGAUGGCGAAGGCAGCCUCCUGGGACAUAACUGACGCUCAGGCACGAA